UACGGAUAAAGGUAUAGAUUUUUUCAGACCAUUGACCAUGGAAGUCAGGUUACAAAUCCUCUGGAAAAACCCCAAAGGUCUGGGGGUGGAAAUGAGAACAUAAUCGCCCAUGAUGAGCUGGCUGAGCAAAGUUGGGCCAAGCCAUCGAAUGCAGCUGUUGACUUCCCACAGGAUUGAUCUCUCUUGCCUCACAGUUCGCUUCAGGAGGAAGGUACAAAGCAGAGUGCAGACAAACCCCGGAAGGAAAUCGUUCUCAGAACUGCAAUUCUGGCCGGCGCAGUGGCUCACGCCUGUAAUCCCAGCACUUUGGGAGGCCGAGACGGGAGGAUCACAAGGUCAGGAGAUCUAGACCAUCCUGGCUAACACGGUGAAACCCCGUCUCUACUAAAAUUACAAAAAUUAACCGGGUGCAGUGGCGGGUGCUUGUAGUCCCAGCUACACGGGA
Molecule: long non-coding RNA, 445 nt
Filed under: Rhinopithecus bieti (black snub-nosed monkey)
Lineage: Eukaryota; Metazoa; Chordata; Mammalia; Primates; Cercopithecidae
Description: lncRNA (ENSRBIG00000045661.1)
Source: RNAcentral